RNAcentral lists this ribosomal RNA (485 nucleotides) under uncultured bacterium. RNAcentral's name for it is "partial 16S ribosomal RNA". It matches the Rfam family "Bacterial small subunit ribosomal RNA", at positions 28 to 507 of the family's 1533-position model. The record is from RNAcentral.
GACGAACGCUGGCGGCGUGCUUAACACAUGCAAGUCGAACGGAAAGGCCCUGCUUUUGUGGGGUGCUCGAGUGGCGAACGGGUGAGUAACACGUGAGUAACCUGCCCUUGACUUUGGUAUAACUUCAGGAAACUGGGGCUAAUACCGGAUAGGAGCUCCUGCUGCUUGGUGGGGGUUGGAAAGUUUCGGCGGUUGGGGAUGGACUCGCGGCUGAUCAGCUUGUUGGUGGGGUAGUGGCUUACCUAGGCUUUGACGGGUAGCCGGGCUGAGAGGGUGACCGGUCACACUGGGAAUGAGACACGGGCGAGACGCCGAAGAGAGGCAGCAGGGGGGAAUAUUGCACAAUGGGCGAAAGGAUGAUGCAGCGACGCCGCGUGAGGGAUGGAGGCCUGCGGGGUGUGAACCUCUUUCGCGAGUGAAGCAGGCGUGCCUCGUGUGUGGGUGGGUUGAGGGUAGCUGGAUAAGAAGCGCCGGCUAACUACGUG